GGAAAAAAGUCGUAACAAGGUUUCCGUAGGUGAACCUGCGGAAGGAUCAUUAUUGUAUACCCGAGGUGCGAGGGCUGUCGCUGACCCGAAAGGUCGUGCACGCCCGAGUGCCCUCACACACAUCCAUCUCACCCCUAUGUGCACCACCGCGUGGGUCCCCCUUUGGCUUGUUCGGAGGGGGGCUUACGUUUUCACACAAACUUUGUAUGCAGUGUAGAAUGUAUUUUUUGUUUUUGCGAUCACGCAAUCAAUACAACUUUCAACAACGGAUCUCUUGGCUCUC
Molecule: unclassified non-coding RNA, 283 nt
Filed under: plant metagenome
Description: partial contains small subunit ribosomal RNA, internal transcribed spacer 1, and 5.8S ribosomal RNA
Rfam family: Eukaryotic small subunit ribosomal RNA (bases 1-52)
Source: RNAcentral